Molecule: ribosomal RNA, 195 nt
Filed under: uncultured bacterium
Lineage: Bacteria
Description: partial 16S ribosomal RNA
Rfam family: Bacterial small subunit ribosomal RNA
Source: RNAcentral
ACGCUCGACACCUACGGGAGGCAGCAGUGAGGGAUAUUGGUCAAUGGGGGAAACCCUGAACCAGCAACGCCGCGUGAGGGAUGACGGCCUUGGUUGUAACCUCUGUCCUCUGUGAAGAUAAUGACGGUAGCAGAGGAGGAAGCUCCGGCUAACUACGUGCCAGUAGCCGCGGUAAUCUGAGCGGGCUGGCAAGGC